GAAAGUGGGCCGGAAGCGGACGUGUUGAGAGAAGGUGGAGGAUGCGCCCGGGACAGCAGAAAUCUGGCCUCGAACUUGCGAUCCUCUUGCCUAAACCUCCCUAGUAGCAUGCAGUUGGGAUUACAGACAUGCACCAUGACACCCAGCUUCUCAUCAGUUUUGAGUAUGAGCAACAACCAAGAGUUUGCAGGAUCUGGGGAAAACUUAAAACAAAGAUUGGCAGGCAAACCAGGUCAAACUCAUGAAGAAUUUUUUUCCUUUUACAUUUUGAAAGGAUUGUCUGAAGCAAAACAAAAGAAGCAAAGAAUAUGUUGCUGAGACCCUAUGUGGCCCAGAAGGCCUCAAAUAUUUACCAUCCGGCCCUUUACAGAAAAUGUUUGCCAACCCGCUGGAACAGAAAAACUAGAUACCAUGCAGGAAAAGCAUCAGAUAGAAUUAUUAAUAUGUAAAAUAAAUAUCUUAAGGAAUUAUUAAAAAUACAAAGAAUAAAAAAAUGCAACAGAAUUAUCAAGUUAAAAAAACAACAAAGAAAAAAGAUAAUGUGGAUAGAAAAUUCAAAAAGAAAAGACCAAUCCAGAAAGUUAAAAUCCAAAGAGCAGGAGUUGCAGAAAGAAGGAACUCUUCAACAAAAUAAUUGAUGAAAAUGUCCUUGGACUACAGGUUUUUAUAUUUUCUUGACUGAGUCUCCAUAGCUAAAAAAGUCUUAAGUAUUCAACACAAUGUACAAAAGGACUCCUUAUCAAGAUCAUUGUAAACUUUCACAAUAAUGAGGACAAAGGUAUCUAAAUGUUUUGGGGGCUGGAUGGGUAUUGAGGGUGUAGCCUGAUGGCAGACCAUGUGUUCAGUUAACAUGAUCUAGGCCCUGGGUUUGUUCCCCUGCACCAAAACCCAACAACAACAACAAAAAGCUUUCAGAGAAGAAAAACAAGCAUCCCAAAGUUCAGAUAUCAAAUGGUUUUAAAACUUUUGAAGUGUCACAUGGAGGCAGGAAGAUGAAAAAGCCAAAUCCCUUUAAAAAUUCAGAAGGAAAUCAAUUUCAAACCUAGAAUCUUUACCCAAGCAAAUAUUUCUAAAUGUGCAAAUGGAAUAGACAUUUUAAGGCACAGGUCUUAAGAUCUUGGGAGCCUUUUUGUUGGAAGGAGUACAGUACUGAUUUCUUUACAGGUUUGCACUUGCUAAGUGAUUUUUUUUUUUUCAAUCAAUGUUCAAUUCAUUGUUAAGAAUAUAGUUGAUAGAAAAAUAAAAUGAUUGACUCCUUUCUAAAUAUAUGCACUUACAUUUUUAAUGGUUUUUAAAAGUUAUAUACAUCAACUGUAAAAUAUUUGAGAAUAGGUUUUAUGUUUUUAUAUAGUUUAUAUUUUUUGGAAUUCACAUUUUUUUUUUUUUUAAUUACAAAAUAAGUGCCCUACAAAGCCAACAUGGCACAUAAACUCAAUUCAGGCAUCCAAUCUUGAUGGUUAUAUGAAUGUGAAUAUCAUACUUAAAUAUUUUCCUGAUGUUUACAAAAGGAUUUUAUUAGAAAAUUUAUUUUGGGACAGGGAUGUAGAUCAGUGGUAGAGCACUUGCCUAGCAUAUACAAGGCCUGGGUUGAUCCCCACCCAGCACUGGAAAUAAAUAAAUAAAGUGAGUAUAUGCCUAGAAUUCUGUAUCCCAUGUAUGAGAAAAACCAAAUGCCUCCAGUAGCAUUUUGCUGAAAGACUGCAAAAGGAAAUUUUUUCAAAAGAAUGGCAGCCAGGGCUGAAGGUGUGAUGUGCAACCCCUCGUAAGCUGGCCCCAAAGAAACUAGACUUUUUAAGGCGUGUUAAAUUAGAAGAGCUUCUUAAAUUUCUUCCAAAAAAUAAUUUCAUAGUAGCAUACUAACAUUUUUAAUGUUUUAACACCUCAUUUUGAAAGGUGCAGUCAUUUUUCCUUAAGAGACAAUGAUUUUCUUAAGUUGUUUAUUGUAAGAUAAUUUACAAACAUCUUGCUGUCUUUAGUAAUUCAAACAAUGAACCACAUUUCUUCUGACAGACAGCAGUAAGCUAAAAAUAAAAUCAGCUCAGAGAAUUUUCCUUCUUUACCUGAAAAAGAAAAGUAAAAAACAAGUAAAAACCAUAUAGUAUUUUUUGGGGAAAAUAACGAUGUCAAGAGAUAACAUAUUUUAAUUGGAACAUAAAGAACUGAAUUUAUAAAAUAUUCCAGUGAUUCUCAAAUUUUGGUCUGUGGAAACUUUUUAUAAGGGCAAAACUAUUUUCAUACUACUGUUAUUUUUUGUUUUAUUCUCAUUUUAUUCAUAGAGUGUAUCAUGAUUUUUCAGAGGCUACAUGAUGCAUGACAUCACAACAAAAUGAAUACAAAGCCAGAUGAAAAUCUAGCUGUCUUCUGUUAAUCAGACAUUAAGGUGUUCUUUGACCAUAAAUUUUGAGAACCACUCUUCACUAACCUACACAUGAUAUCUCAAAAUAAUGUUAAUUCUCAAUCCUUCCAUAUACUUUUCUAUGACCAACCAAUUUAUUAAAAAAUUCCUUAAAGUUUAUUUCCUUCCAUAUCUUUUCUAUGACCAACCAAUUUAUUAAAAAAAAUUUUUUUUUUUUUUUUUUUUU
Long non-coding RNA from Marmota monax (woodchuck), 2582 nucleotides. RefSeq lists it as uncharacterized. The transcript has 2 exons. The record is from RefSeq and is a predicted model, not a curated record. NCBI's taxonomy places the organism in Eukaryota, Metazoa, Chordata, Mammalia, Rodentia, Sciuridae.